This 365-nucleotide long non-coding RNA is filed under the name Phoenix dactylifera (date palm). RNAcentral's name for it is "long non-coding RNA (PDAC_LNC010430)". The record is from RNAcentral. Lineage: Eukaryota; Viridiplantae; Streptophyta; Magnoliopsida; Arecales; Arecaceae.
CUUCACAAUUGGUUUUACGGGUUCACCAACAACCUACGUUGGUUUUACGGGCUUACCAACAACCUACGUUGGUUUUACGGGCUUACCAACAACCUACAAUGUUGGUUUUACGGGCUUACCAACAAACCUUACAACAAGAAUAAAGAAUAAUAAACUAAAGCUCCUAAAUGAGCAAAUAAAACAAUUAUGAGCUACAAAGAAGAGUUUAGAAUAUAAUUAUCCCUUUAAUAAGGCUCUUCUCUUCUUUGUCAAGAUUGCUUCACUCUUCAAGGGUUGGUGGAGCUCUUAAUGUCUCUUGGAAUGUGCUCAACCACUUUCUUUUGGCUCUUUGAAUGAAGCAAUUGAACGAAGCUUGCCUUGCUAGG